UACGUAUGGUGCAAGCGUUAAUCGGAAUUACUGGGCGUAAAGCGUGCGCAGGCGGUUGUGCAAGACCGAUGUGAAAUCCCCGGGCUUAACCUGGGAAUGGCAUUGGUGACUGCACGGCUAGAGUGUGUCAGAGGGGGGUAGAAUUCCACGUGUAGCAGUGAAAUGCGUAGAGAUGUGGAGGAAUAUCGAUGGCGAAGGCAGCCCCCUGGGAUAACACUGACGCUCAUGCACAAAAGCGUGGGGAGCAAACAGG
This 253-nucleotide ribosomal RNA is filed under the name uncultured bacterium. RNAcentral describes it as "partial 16S ribosomal RNA". It matches the Rfam family "Bacterial small subunit ribosomal RNA", at positions 524 to 776 of the family's 1533-position model. The record is from RNAcentral.